Molecule: small nuclear RNA, 103 nt
Organism: Octopus sinensis (East Asian common octopus)
Lineage: Eukaryota; Metazoa; Mollusca; Cephalopoda; Octopoda; Octopodidae
Source: RefSeq, a predicted model, not a curated record
UUCCUUCAACAGGAUAUAUUCUAAAAUAGGAAUGAUACAUAGAAGAUUGCAUGGCCCUCUGCACAAGGAUGACAUGCAGGUUCUUGAAGUGUUCCGUAUUUUU